This 380-nucleotide ribosomal RNA is filed under the name uncultured eukaryote. RNAcentral's name for it is "partial 18S ribosomal RNA". It matches the Rfam family "Eukaryotic small subunit ribosomal RNA", at positions 592 to 976 of the family's 1831-position model. The record is from RNAcentral.
CAAUAGCGUAUAUUAAAGUUGUUGCAGUUAAAACGCUCGUAGUCGGAUUUCGGGGCCUGCCUGCCGGUCUGCCGAUGGGUAUGCACUGGCAGGCGCGUCCUUCCUUCCGGAGACUGUCCCUACUCUUAACUGAGCGGGGUCGGGAGACGGAUCGUUUACUUUGAAAAAAUCAGAGUGUUUCAAGCAGGCAGCUCGCUCUUGCAUGGAUUAGCAUGGGAUAAUGAAAUAGGACUUUGGUGCUAUUUUGUUGGUUUCGAACACCGAAGUAAUGAUUAACAGGGUCAGUCAGGGGCACUCGUAUUCCGCCGAGAGAGGUGAAAUUCUCAGACCAGCGGAAGACGAACCACUGCGAAAGCAUUUGCCAGGGAUGUUUUCACUGA